RNAcentral lists this ribosomal RNA (792 nucleotides) under uncultured crenarchaeote. Its description in RNAcentral is "bacterial SSU rRNA". It matches the Rfam family "Archaeal small subunit ribosomal RNA", at positions 85 to 879 of the family's 1478-position model. The record is from RNAcentral. Lineage: Archaea; Thermoproteati; Thermoproteota.
ACGGCUCAGUAACACGUAGUCAACAUGCCCAGGGGACGUGGAUAACCUCGGGAAACUGAGGAUAAACCGCGAUAAGUCACUACUUCUGGAAUGGGUAAUGACUUAAAUCUAUAUGGCCCCUGGAUUGGACUGCGGCCGAUCAGGCUGUUGGUGAGGUAAUGGCCCACCAAACCUGUAACCGGUACGGGCUCUGAGGGGAGGAGCCCGGAGAUGGGCACUGAGACAAGGGCCCAGGCCCUAUGGGGCGCAGCAGGCGCGAAACCUCUGCAAUAGGCGAAAGCCUGACAGGGUUACUCUGAGUGAUUUCCGUUAAGGAGAUCUUUUGGCACCUCUAAAAAUGGUGCAGAAUAAGGGGUGGGCAAGUCUGGUGUCAGCCGCCGCGGUAAUACCAGCACCCCGAGUGGUCGGGACGUUUAUUGGGCCUAAAGCAUCCGUAGCCGGUUCUACAAGUCUUCCGUUAAAUCCACCUGCUUAACAGAUGGGCUGCGGAAGAUACUAUAGAGCUAGGAGGCGGGAGAGGCAAGCGGUACUCGAUGGGUAGGGGUAAAAUCCGUUGAUCCAUUGAAGACCACCAGUGGCGAAGGCGGCUUGCCAGAACGCGCUCGACGGUAAGGGAUGAAAGCUGGGGGAGCAAACCGGAUUAGAUACCCGGGUAGUCCCAGCUGUAAACGAUGCAGACUCGGUGAUGAAUUGGCUUCAUGCCAAUUCAGUGCCGCAGGGAAGCCGUUAAGUUUGCCGCCUGGGGAGUACGGUCGCAAGNACUGAAACUUAAAGGAAUUGGCGGGGGAGCAC